CCUACGGGUGGCAGCAGUGGGGAAUAUUGGGCAAUGGGCGCAAGCCUGACCCAGCAACGCCGCGUGAGGGAAGAAGGCUUUCGGGUUGUAAACUUCUUUUGACCGGGAAGCGCAGAAGACGGUACCUGUCGAAUGAGCGACGGCUAACUACGUGCCAGCAGCCGCGGUAAUACGUAGGGGGCAGGCGGUGUCCGGAUUUACUGGGGGUAAAGGGCGUGUAGCCGGGCUGACAAGGCAGAUGGGAAAUCCGGGGGCUCAACCCCCGAACUGCAUUUGAAACUGUGGGUCUUGAGUAGCGGAGAGGCAGGCGGAAUGCCUGGUGUAGCGGUGAAAUGCGUAGAUAUUAGGCGGAACACCAGUGGCGAAGGCGGCCUGCUGGACGACAACUGACGGUGAGGCGCGAAAGCGUGGGUAGCAAACAGGAUUAGAUACCCUAGUAGUC
This 442-nucleotide ribosomal RNA is filed under the name uncultured bacterium. RNAcentral's name for it is "partial 16S ribosomal RNA". It matches the Rfam family "Bacterial small subunit ribosomal RNA", at positions 338 to 795 of the family's 1533-position model. The record is from RNAcentral.